GUGGCUUCCGGAGCUAACGCGUUAAGUAGACCGCCUGGGGAGUACGGCCGCAAGGUUAAAACUCAAAUGAAUUGACGGGGGCCCGCACAAGCGGUGGAGCAUGUGGUUUAAUUCGAUGCAACGCGAAGAACCUUACCUGGUCUUGACAUCCACGGAAGUUUUCAGAGAUGAGAAUGUGCCUUCGGGAACCGUGAGACAGGUGCUGCAUGGCUGUCGUCAGCUCGUGUUGUGAAAUGUUGGGUUAAGUCCCGCAACGAGCGCAACCCUUAUCCUUUGUUGCCAGCGAUUCGGUCGGGAACUCAAAGGAGACUGCCAGUGAUAAACUGGAGGAAGGUGGGGAUGACGUCAAGUCAUCAUGGCCCUUACGACCAGGGCUACACACGUGCUACAAUGGCGCAUACAAAGAGAAGCGACCUCGCGAGAGCAAGCGGACCUCAUAAAGUGCGUCGUAGUCCGGAUUGGAGUCUGCAACUCGACUCCAUGAAGUCGGAAUCGCUAGUAAUCGUGGAUCAGAAUGCCACGGUGAAUACGUUCCCGGGCCUUGUACACACCGCCCGUCACACCAUGGGAGUGGGUUGCAAAAGAAGUAGGUAGCUUAACCUUCGGGAGGGCGCUUACCACUUUGUGAUUCAUGACUGGGGUGAAGUCGUAACAAGGUAACCGUAGGGGAACCUGCGGUUGGAUCACCUCCUUACCUGAAAGAAGC
RNAcentral lists this ribosomal RNA (706 nucleotides) under Salmonella enterica. RNAcentral describes it as "bacterial SSU rRNA". It matches the Rfam family "Bacterial small subunit ribosomal RNA", at positions 839 to 1533 of the family's 1533-position model. The record is from RNAcentral. Lineage: Bacteria; Pseudomonadati; Pseudomonadota; Gammaproteobacteria; Enterobacterales; Enterobacteriaceae. RNAcentral also lists the same sequence under 1 other name.